RNAcentral lists this ribosomal RNA (484 nucleotides) under uncultured bacterium. RNAcentral's name for it is "partial 16S ribosomal RNA". It matches the Rfam family "Bacterial small subunit ribosomal RNA", at positions 28 to 523 of the family's 1533-position model. The record is from RNAcentral.
GACGAACGCUGGCGGCGUGCUUAACACAUGCAAGUCGAACGAUGAAGGAGGAGCUUGCUCCUCUGGAUUAGUGGCGAACGGGUGAGUAACAACUGAGCAAUCUGCCCUUGAAUCUGGGAUAAGCGCUGGAAACGGCGUCUAAUACCGGAUACGACUCUCGGAGGCAUCUCCUGAGGGUAGAAAGAACUUCGGUCAAGGAUGAGCCCGCGGCCUAUCAGCUUGUUGGUGAGGUAAUGGCUCACCAAGGCGACGACGGGUAGCCGGCCUGAGAGGGUGACCGGCCACACUGGGACUGAGACACGGCCCAGACUCCUACGGGAGGCAGCAGUGGGGAAUAUUGCACAAUGGGCGCAAGCCUGAUGCAGCAACGCCGCGUGAGGGACGACGGCCUUCGGGUUGUAAACCUCUUUUAGCAGGGAAGAAGCGAGAGUGACGGUACCUGCAGAAAAAGCACCGGCUAACUACGUGCCAGCCGCCGCGGUAA